UACGGAGGAUGCGAGCGUUAUCCGGAUUUAUUGGGUUUAAAGGGUGCGCAGGCGGAAUGUCAAGUCAGCGGUAAAAUUUCGGGGCUCAACCCCGGCCCGCCGUUGAAACUGGCUGGCUUGAGUUGGGGAAAGGCAGGCGGAAUGCGCGGUGUAGCGGUGAAAUGCAUAGAUAUCACGCAGAACUCCGAUUGCGAAGGCAGCAUACCGGCGCUCAACUGACGCUCAUGCACGAAAGCGUGGGUAUCGAACAGG
Molecule: ribosomal RNA, 252 nt
Filed under: uncultured Bacteroidales bacterium
Lineage: Bacteria; Pseudomonadati; Bacteroidota; Bacteroidia; Bacteroidales
Description: partial 16S ribosomal RNA
Rfam family: Bacterial small subunit ribosomal RNA
Source: RNAcentral